UGAUCGGUUAAACAACUUGCCAACAUUUCGUAAUGUCAAACAGUUGACCAUAACCGAGGAAGUAGACUUUGAUGACCUAUUAAUUGCUGUACUCAAAGCAACACCAAAUUUGGAAUCCCUCAAAUUUGAUAAUUUGAUUACUCCGUGUUACCCUGAAUACAAUGGUUGGAAGGUAAAUAUGGUUCAUACCCGAUGUUUAUUUCAUAAUCUUAAAUCCGUUUGCUUUCGGCAAUUUAUUGGGAAGCCGAGGGAGAUGAGGUGGGUGAAACUGAUUUUGAAGAAUGCAAAACUUUUACAAACAAUGAUUAUCUCAUAUGGAGCUAAAGGUGCAGCUUGCCUUUCUAACCCAAAAAGCAAACAAGAGCUUACAGUAGAAAUACCGAGUAUUCCAAGAGCCUCUUCAAGUUGUGUUCAAGUUCAACUCUUUUCCUAAUUCUUUUAUAUGAUGAUGGUAUUGAUGCCAAUUGGCACCUUUUUUUCUUUUGAUGUUCUUUUAGUUUGUUCUAUUCUUAGUUAGAAUCUUUGAGUGAGGUGAAGCAGCUAAUACUAGUAGUCAGUAGUUUUUCUGUAAAGAACUUGGAUCUUUAAGGGUCGUCAACUUCUGGGAUGAAAAUUUGCAACUAUUUUCUUCAUCAUA
This is a long non-coding RNA of Papaver somniferum (opium poppy), 637 nucleotides long. RefSeq lists it as uncharacterized. The record is from RefSeq and is a predicted model, not a curated record. NCBI's taxonomy places the organism in Eukaryota, Viridiplantae, Streptophyta, Magnoliopsida, Ranunculales, Papaveraceae. The transcript is spliced from 2 exons.